Molecule: ribosomal RNA, 702 nt
Filed under: Triticum aestivum (bread wheat)
Lineage: Eukaryota; Viridiplantae; Streptophyta; Magnoliopsida; Poales; Poaceae
Description: partial small subunit ribosomal RNA
Source: RNAcentral
AUGGGGCCUCCCCUACCCCUACCCAGGGCGCACUGGACAACGACCCCCGCAGAUCACAUGGUGCUCAUGCUCCUGGGCGCCAACGCGUCCGUCUUCAUGCUCUGGCGCGUGCUCGCGUAUCCCGCCUUCAUGGCGGAUCCUUACAUGGUUUCGCUGGACUUGAACUUGGGCGGACGUCUGCACACGCUGCUCAUGAGCACCUCCAGCCUCGUGGAUCCAGCGUUCAUGGUGAAACAUUUCAUGGUUUCGCUGCCUGGUUUGGUGCGUUGGCGUUUCCACACAUUGCUCACGUAUGCUUUCAGCCACGUAGAUCCUAAACACCUCUUCAACAAUAUGUUUGGCCUCUACUUCUUCGGCUCAAGUGUUGCAAGAGAGUUUGGUCCUGCUUUUCUUUUAAAGUUGUACGUAGCAGGAGCACUUAGUGGGGCUCUGUUCUACUUGGCUGAAAUGUUAUUUCUAGCUCCACGGAGACAGGUAACAUGCUUACGACAUCAACGUAUAUGCAUUAGGGAACUGGAUUCCAAAUCCUGGACAUCAAUUACUUCUGAUUAUCAAAUGAAAUCCUAUGAUAUGAUUAUCUUGGGUUUACCACUUCAUUUUUUGUGGUACUUCUGUGUGAGAAGGUUGGUAUUCAGUCACUUCGCCGCUCAUGCUAGCUACUGGAUGCUAGCAAAUCGUCUAGGAUCUAGUGCUAAGAUCUGA